This 924-nucleotide ribosomal RNA is filed under the name Antrodia sp. RLG-7115-Sp. RNAcentral describes it as "LSU rRNA". It matches the Rfam family "Eukaryotic large subunit ribosomal RNA", at positions 45 to 955 of the family's 3401-position model. The record is from RNAcentral. Lineage: Eukaryota; Fungi; Basidiomycota; Agaricomycetes; Polyporales; Fomitopsidaceae.
AAUAAGCGGAGGAAAAGAAACUAACAAGGAUUCCCCUAGUAACUGCGAGUGAAGCGGGAAAAGCUCAAAUUUAAAAUCUGGCGGUCUUCGGCCGUCCGAGUUGUAGUCUGGAGAAGUGCUUUCCGCGCUGGACCGUGUACAAGUCUCUUGGAACAGAGCGUCAUAGAGGGUGAGAAUCCCGUCUUUGACACGGACUACCAGUGCUUUGUGAUGCGCUCUCAAAGAGUCGAGUUGUUUGGGAAUGCAGCUCAAAAUGGGUGGUAAAUUCCAUCUAAAGCUAAAUAUUGGCGAGAGACCGAUAGCGAACAAGUACCGUGAGGGAAAGAUGAAAAGCACUUUGGAAAGAGAGUUAAACAGUACGUGAAAUUGCUGAAAGGGAAACGAUUGAAGUCAGUCGCGUCGGCCAGGACUCAGCCUUGCUUUUGCUUGGUGCAUUUUCUGGUUGACGGGCCAGCAUCGAUUUUGAUCGCCGGAAAAAGGUUGGGGGAAUGUGGCACCUUCGGGUGUGUUAUAGCCCUCAGUCACAUACGGCGAUUGGGAUCGAGGACCGCAGCACGCCUUUAUGGCCGGGGUUCGCCCACGUUCGUGCUUAGGAUGCUGGCGUAAUGGCUUUAAACGACCCGUCUUGAAACACGGACCAAGGAGUCUAACAUGCCUGCGAGUGUUUGGGUGGAAAACCCGAGCGCGUAAUGAAAGUGAAAGUUGAGAUCCCUGUCGUAGGGAGCAUCGACGCCCGGACUUGAACUUCGGUGAUAGAUCUGCGGUAGAGCAUGUAUGUUGGGACCCGAAAGAUGGUGAACUAUGCCUGAAUAGGGUGAAGCCAGAGGAAACUCUGGUGGAGGCUCGUAGCGAUUCUGACGUGCAAAUCGAUCGUCAAAUUUGGGUAUAGGGGCGAAAGACUAAUCGAACCAUCUAGUAGCUGGU